RNAcentral lists this long non-coding RNA (981 nucleotides) under Triticum aestivum (bread wheat). RNAcentral describes it as "long non-coding RNA (TAES_LNC015101)". Lineage: Eukaryota; Viridiplantae; Streptophyta; Magnoliopsida; Poales; Poaceae. The record is from RNAcentral.
ACUUUGAGUUUUGAGGUUGUUUUUUCAGGAUUGUGAACUUUGAGCUACCUACAAUAUACUUGUUACAAGAAGAUGGUGGUAUAUGUCAUGUGGUGAUCUCACAAAGCAGGUACAAAGGAAAUUGAUAAGAGUUGUGUUAUAUAUAUACAGAAAUUAUAACACCUUGGUAAGCAUAUAUUCUGCUAAUUUGAACAGUAACUUCUUGAUUAUGUUUACUUUGCAAUGAAAAGAUGCCAAAUUAAUUACCAUACACUACUAUAAGCUGCACUUGAUGUUACGAGGAGACCGGAAAAAAUCUUAAUAUAUCUGUCUCGAAAUUGCAGAACUCAUUGGGUGGGAAGCACAAAAAUUAUACAAUAAUUAUGUUGAAAUUAAGGCAAACUAUUUAUGUUUACUAAGAUAAUAGUAAGAAUACUUGACAUCCAUCAAUAUAAGGAGGACACCCCUACCGGAUAACAAAAAGUCAAAUGUUAGCACUAUCAAAAACAUAUUACAUUAUAAUUAUUUUAAAUACAUUCACACAUGCACUUUUGGUGAAUUUUAUAUUCUUGGUAACAACUAUUCUAGCCUAUGUUCGGUUUAGUUCAAGAAAACCAUGAUCAUGAGGAAAAACUGCAGUAUUACAGGUAUCGCCUACAGCAUAGGAAAAAAAUCCAUUUCAUAUCGAUUAAGAUAUAUGAACCAAAUUUCAGUUAAUACAUUUAAUCCUUCUUGCUUUGUCCUAAAUACACAUAUAGGUCAUAUAACUUGCUAAUAUAUGUUAGCAACAAAAAAAGAAUACUAUUAAACCACCUACAAUGGGGAAACUUACAUGUCAAGAAUAAGCCACUCUCGACGAAGUAGAAAUGAUGCAAAGUUGUAGCAAAUUAAUGGGUGAAAGGCGAUGGCACCAGCAAUGAGGAAGCCCAAAACCUGCCUUUGCCUACAGACUCUUUAAAUGAAAAGAGACCAAUCACUAUAUAAAAAAAUAUACAUCGGGGU